This 311-nucleotide unclassified non-coding RNA is filed under the name Hevea brasiliensis (rubber tree). Lineage: Eukaryota; Viridiplantae; Streptophyta; Magnoliopsida; Malpighiales; Euphorbiaceae. The record is from RNAcentral.
UCUGAAUAAAAUAAAAAUAAUUUUCUUGGAGGAUCAAUAAAAUUUAAGAUAUGAUGAGCUAACAAAACGGAAUGAAUUAAUGAAUUUGUUGAAUGGCAACAGAGAUGGUUAGGAAUGGAAGAACAUUGAUAUAAACACAACGAACAAUAAAAAAGAGCUGUGGAUAAAAUGGGAUUGGGAUGGGAUCUUUCACUUGAACUGAGCAGAGCCGAAUCUGCAGCAUUCAAUCUUCUCAACCAGCCACGAUGAUGGACUUUAGAUUUCGUAGCUCAAUCAGAUGACACGCAUACACACGUAGUCUACGUCGCUUG